This 253-nucleotide ribosomal RNA is filed under the name uncultured bacterium. Its description in RNAcentral is "partial 16S ribosomal RNA". It matches the Rfam family "Bacterial small subunit ribosomal RNA", at positions 524 to 776 of the family's 1533-position model. The record is from RNAcentral.
UACGUAGGUGACAAGCGUUGUCCGGAAUUAUUGGGCGUAAAGAGCUCGUAGGCGGUUCGUCGCGUCGGCUGUGAAAUCCCGAGGCUCAACCUCGGGUCUGCAGUCGAUACGGGCGGACUGGAGUACUGCAGGGGAGACUGGAAUUCCUGGUGUAGCGGUGAAAUGCGCAGAUAUCAGGAGGAACACCGGUGGCGAAGGCGGGUCUCUGGGCAGUUACUGACGCUGAGGAGCGAAAGCGUGGGGAGCGAACAGG